This 336-nucleotide unclassified non-coding RNA is filed under the name soil metagenome. RNAcentral's name for it is "partial contains 5.8S ribosomal RNA, internal transcribed spacer 2, and large subunit ribosomal RNA". The stretch from base 1 to 120 matches the Rfam family "5.8S ribosomal RNA", at positions 35 to 154 of the family's 154-position model. The record is from RNAcentral.
GAUGAAGAACGUAGUGAAAUGCGAUAAGUAAUGUGAAUUGCAGAAUUCCGUGAAUCAUCGAAUCUUUGAACGCACAUUGCGCCCCCUGGUAUUCCGGGGGGCAUGCCUGUCCGAGCGUCAUUGCAACCUUCAAGCGCGGCUUGUGUGUUGGGUCUCGUCCCCCGUGGACUGGCCCGAAAGGCAGUGGCGGCGUCCCGACAUGGUGCCCGAGCGUAUGGGAAUCCUCUUCCGCUCGAAUCGGCCCAUGCGGCGCUGGUCGUAACCAAAUUUUUUACCGGUUGACCUCGGAUCAGGUAGGGAUACCCGCUGAACUUAAGCAUAUCAAUAAGCGGAGGA